UACGGCGGGCGCAAGCGUUGUUCGGAAUCAUUGGGCGUAAAGCGCGUGUAGGCGGCUUGGCACGUCGGGUGUGAAAUCCCGGGGCCCCACCCCGGAACUGCAUUCGAAACUGCCUCGCUAGAGUCCCGGAGAGGAAGGCGGAAUUCCCGGUGUAGAGGUGAAAUUCGUAGAUAUCGGGAGGAACACCAGCGGCGAAGGCGGCCGUCUGGACGGUGACUGGCGCUCGGACGCGAAAGCGUGGGGAGCAAACUGG
RNAcentral lists this ribosomal RNA (253 nucleotides) under uncultured bacterium. Its description in RNAcentral is "partial 16S ribosomal RNA". It matches the Rfam family "Bacterial small subunit ribosomal RNA", at positions 524 to 776 of the family's 1533-position model. The record is from RNAcentral.